UCUCGCUCUCUCCUCUCUUUCUCUCUCUACCCGACCAUGAUUUUUUUCUCUCUUCUUCUUUUCCUUCUUCUUCCAAUCGUGCGUCAACGCGUCGCACAACCCGCGUAACCCUCCUCCUCUUUCUUACUCUCUCGACUGCGGUGUCGCGCAACGGGACGAGACCCACCUCCUCUCUAAAUCUCCGUCGGUUCCCUCUCUCGGCUGUGACCUUCCUCUCUCACUCCUCCCUCUCUCGGCUGUGACUUUCCUCUCUCAGUCCUCCCUCUCUCUUCAAGACGCUCGACGCUCUCUUCUCUACAUGUUUUUUCUUCUUUCUUUCUUUUUAUGUUAAUUAAUUAUAUAUAUAUACACAUAUAUAACUCCCAGAGUUGGGUUCUUUUUUCUUUCUUUCU
Molecule: long non-coding RNA, 392 nt
Filed under: Carica papaya (papaya)
Lineage: Eukaryota; Viridiplantae; Streptophyta; Magnoliopsida; Brassicales; Caricaceae
Description: long non-coding RNA (CPAP_LNC000415)
Source: RNAcentral